UGUAUUCCCGUUCCAGAUUUGUACAUGGUUCCCGAUCCAGAUCCCAUGUUCAUUCAAAAUACAAAGGCAUUUUGUCAAAGGGAUUUUGUGGUGACGAUAUUAGAAUAAUGUAAUUGAAGAAUUUUUUAAUUUUGUGGUGACAAUAUGAGCACAAUGAGAUUUUGUGGUGACUAUGAUGAACUUUCAUCAGCCUCAAGCAUGAUCUUGUAUUUGUUGUAAUUUUCCCUUUUUUCCAUUUGAUUUUUCUCCUGAGAAUACUUAGUUAGCCUCUAGUUUGUGUCGUUCUUUCUCGAGUUGGUCGAGCGGUUAUCGUGGUGCUGAUAAUAAUAUUUUAUCCGGUGACAAAAAUGCUUAUUAUGAGCCAGUCUACGGUGAUUGAUGGUUCUCGUGUUACAUUAGUUGCAUGUUAAUUUUUCCGAAAAAGAACGAAAACAAAACUUUGUUGCACGCCACGGAGCGGGUGUCAAAUAUUUCCGUGGGGACCGGUGAAGUACAGUUGACUGCCAUACGUGAAAGAAAGCAAUCACUGGACACAAUAAAGAUGCGAUGAGGUAACGGCGACAUAUGGACGGACGUUUAUAAGCACGAAUCACUGAGCAAUGAUCUGAUGGUGAGCACACCGUGCGUAGCUAGCACCCCGGGUAGAAAAUCCGCGUCGAUAUAUAUAUAUAGAAACUCUAUUAGACCUCCUGGGUGCAGAAUAGUAAUUCUGCUCCCGGGCCGGUCGACCGAGCCGGACAGGCGCCUGGUUCAGCCCAAACCUUGUCGGUGCCCACCACCAAACGAACAGUCGUAAUUUCAUCUCUUUUUUUAUCCCGACGAUUUUUUUUCCAAUUCGGUCGUAGGUGGAGCUGCCCACUAACCCCGUACCCCAACCCAGACGAUGGCGAGCGGUUGGGAUUGGGCGAGGCAGCGGCGAUGCGGGUGAGCGGCCGGCGGGCGGCGGCGAUGCGUGUGUCUGGCCGGCGGCGAUGCGGGUGACUGGCCGGUGGCGAGCGGCGGAUGCGCUAUGCGUUGUGGGUGUCCUUGGCUCCGUUGUGGUCUGCCGACGAAUCGACGGCGACCGGCUGUAGGUGUGAUUGCGGUCGGCAGCGGGCGGUUGUAGGCAGGGUUGCUGCGAGCGGCUGCAGCUGGGGAUCUUAUCGGCUUGAGGCUUGUGGUGCAUAAGGAGAAGAUCCCCUCGGUGAACCCUCUCCUCCGUCCUCACCUAUUCUCGUUUAUGCUUCAAAAUAUCGGAUUAAUCGCGAGCUUGAUUUGCAGCGGCUGGUUUGGAAUCCCGAAGGCUUCAGCCGAGUGGUGGGUGGUCCCGGUCUCGGUUGCCAUGGAGACUGGCCUCCGCAGCGGGAGGGGUUGCGGUCUGCCAGUAUUCUACACCGGAGAAGAAGAUGCUGUCCCUGUCGGCAUAAACGAGACGGGAAUGUGCUAUUUUGGAAUCUGACAAGAAAUUGACAGACAGAAAAAGAUGUAUGCAAAGGACUUGUAGACGAAGAGCAAGUAUGUAGCGGCAGUGUUGCACAGAUGAGAAAAUAUCAGUUGUUUGUAUUCAUGCUGUACCUAGCCUGGUGUCACCUGAGCACAUAACUUUCUGGCCCAAGCUCCAACCCGCCGUGGUGCUCCUGCCGCUGGGCUCCAACCGUAAUUGCCUCGAACACUGCCGAGAUCCAGCCGCCCGCGACCAGGUCAUGUCGCCGCCGAGCUUAAGCCAACCGCGACGAGGUCGUGUGGCCACCAUCCUCGCCUCGUGCCCCAAGUUCCUGCCGUCGGCCGCUAGCACCAGUCGCCCCGUCCUCGCCGCAGGAGCGCCAGCCUCUCCGGCCGUCCUCGUCGUCUCCAAUUGCUCUGGUUGUACUCCUCUUCUCCGAGCAGGAACAAGGUCCUACUGCAUUUUCAUGCUAUGAUUUGUGGCAGUUCUGUAUCUUACCUUUGGUGUCCAAGUUGUCUGUUUGUUUUUGUCCAAGAGCAUGUAUUACUGUGUUAGGUGGUCAAUAUAAGAUAUCCUUUUUAGUUUUUACCACAAAGGUAUCUAUCCGCAGCUUAUUUUCUUUUACGCUAGAUUUAUACUUGAGAGAAAAAAUUCGAUGUUCAUUUCCUACAUUGUGAUACCAUCAUGAUUUGAAUUUGUUCA
This is a non-coding RNA of Lolium perenne, 2125 nucleotides long. The record is from RefSeq and is a predicted model, not a curated record. NCBI's taxonomy places the organism in Eukaryota, Viridiplantae, Streptophyta, Magnoliopsida, Poales, Poaceae.